UACGUAGGGGGCUAGCGUUGUCCGGAUUUAUUGGGCGUAAAGCGCGUGUAGGCGGCCAGGUAGGUCCGUUGUGAAAACUCGAGGCUCAACCUCCAGACGUCGACGGAAACCGUGUGGCUAGAGUCCGGAAGAGGAGAGUGGAAUUCCUGGUGUAGCGGUGAAAUGCGCAGAUAUCAGGAAGAACACCAAUGGCGAAGGCAGCUCUCUGGGACGGUACUGACGCUGAGACGCGAAAGCGUGGGGAGCGAACAGG
This 253-nucleotide ribosomal RNA is filed under the name uncultured bacterium. RNAcentral's name for it is "partial 16S ribosomal RNA". It matches the Rfam family "Bacterial small subunit ribosomal RNA", at positions 524 to 776 of the family's 1533-position model. The record is from RNAcentral.